CAGCCGCCGCGGGAAUACGUAGGGUGCAAGCGUUAAUCGGAAUUACUGGGCGUAAAGCGUGCGCAGGCGGUUAUAUAAGACAGAUGUGAAAUCCCCGGGCUCAACCUGGGAACUGCAUUUGUGACUGUAUAGCUAGAGUACGGCAGAGGGGGAUGGAAUUCCGCGUGUAGCAGUGAAAUGCGUAGAUAUGCGGAGGAACACCGAUGGCGAAGGCAAUCCCCUGGGCCUGUACUGACGCUUAUGCACGAAAGCGUGGGGAGCAAACAGGAUUAGAUACCCGGGUAGUCCCUGUCUCUUAUAC
This 301-nucleotide ribosomal RNA is filed under the name uncultured bacterium. RNAcentral's name for it is "partial 16S ribosomal RNA". It matches the Rfam family "Bacterial small subunit ribosomal RNA", at positions 509 to 807 of the family's 1533-position model. The record is from RNAcentral.